This 430-nucleotide ribosomal RNA is filed under the name uncultured eukaryote. RNAcentral's name for it is "bacterial SSU rRNA". It matches the Rfam family "Eukaryotic small subunit ribosomal RNA", at positions 592 to 1018 of the family's 1831-position model. The record is from RNAcentral.
CAGUAGCGUAUAUUAAUGUUGCUGCAGUUAAAAAGCUCGUAGUUGGAUUUCUGGCAUGAUUUGUCUGGCCCGCCGCCAUGCGGUGAGUGCUGUGACGCAUCUGCCAUCCUUCUGGUAAGGCUGUGCUGCCCGAAAGGGUUGGCGCUGUUUCCGAACCAGAUCUUUUACUUUGAAAAAUUAGAGUGUUUAAAGCAGGCUUGCGCUUCUGAAUACAUUAGCAUGGAAUAAUAAUAUAGGACUAAAGUUCUCUCUUGUUGGUUCUAGGAACUUCAGUAAUGAUUGAUAGGGAUAGUUGGGGUGCUAGUAUUCCAAGGCCAGAGGUGAAAUUCUCGGAUUCUUGGAAGACUAACUUAUGCGAAAGCAUUCACCAAGGAUGUUUUCUUUUAAUUCAAGAACGAAAGUUGGGGAGUCGAAGAUGAUUAGAUACCAU